GAUGAACGCUGGCGGCGUGCUUAACACAUGCCAGUCGAACGGAAAGGCCCAAGCUUGCUUGGGUACUCGAGUGGCGAACGGGUGAGUAACACGUGGGUGAUCUGCCCUGCACUUCGGGAUAAGCCUGGGAAACUGGGUCUAAUACCGGAUAGGACGAUGGUUUGGAUGCCAUUGUGGAAAGUUUUUUCGGUGUGGGAUGAGCUCGCGGCCUAUCAGCUUGUUGGUGGGGUAAUGGCCUACCAAGGCGUCGACGGGUAGCCGGCCUGAGAGGGUGUACGGCCACAUUGGGACUGAGAUACGGCCCAGACUCCUACGGGAGGCAGCAGUGGGGAGUAUUGCACAAUGGGCGCAAGCCUGAUGCAGCGACGCCGCGUGGGGGAUGACGGCCUUCGGGUUGUAAACUCCUUUCGCUAGGGACGAAGCGUUUUUGUGACGGUACCUGGAGAAGAAGCACCGGCUAACUACGUG
This 468-nucleotide ribosomal RNA is filed under the name uncultured bacterium. Its description in RNAcentral is "partial 16S ribosomal RNA". It matches the Rfam family "Bacterial small subunit ribosomal RNA", at positions 28 to 507 of the family's 1533-position model. The record is from RNAcentral.